AAGUCGUAACAAGGUCUCCGUAGGUGAACCUGCGGAGGGAUCAUUAACAAAAAAUAAAUAAUAUAAAACAAAAAGCUUAGGGAAAAAUGAAUAAUUUUUUUUUUCGCUUUCGUUUUAUUUAUUAAUAAACACCUAACGUGAACUAUAUGACUGACCUUAGCGCGUCUCUCAUUUUUAAUUAGUGAGAUUUCCGCUUCGGCUUUUUUAUAUCCACCCUAUCCAAUUUCACUUUUAAUAAACCAAAACAAAAGAAAAAUCCAUAAUUGUUAUGUUUUAAUAAUUAUUGACUAAAAUAAAAAUUUUUUAUUUUUAUUUUUUAUAAAUUAAAAGCACAACUCUUAGCAACGGAUAUCUUGGUUCUC
RNAcentral lists this unclassified non-coding RNA (362 nucleotides) under fungal sp. RNAcentral describes it as "partial internal transcribed spacer region". The stretch from base 1 to 46 matches the Rfam family "Eukaryotic small subunit ribosomal RNA", at positions 1786 to 1831 of the family's 1831-position model. The record is from RNAcentral. Lineage: Eukaryota; Fungi.